Cercocebus atys (sooty mangabey) is the source of this 128-nucleotide small nucleolar RNA. NCBI's taxonomy places the organism in Eukaryota, Metazoa, Chordata, Mammalia, Primates, Cercopithecidae. The record is from Ensembl.
GGGGUGCACUCAGGGCAGGGGGCUUGAAGAACGGCUCCUCUGUUUACAACACACUCAACAGGGGUCUGAGGUCACAGUGAUGAGAGGCCCAAACUUGUGGCCUCCCCAUGAACAAAUGCCCUACUCAU